This 72-nucleotide transfer RNA is filed under the name Oxynema mangrovii CENA135. RNAcentral describes it as "tRNA-Thr". It matches the Rfam family "tRNA". Rfam says of the family: Transfer RNA (tRNA) molecules are approximately 80 nucleotides in length. Lineage: Bacteria; Bacillati; Cyanobacteriota; Cyanophyceae; Oscillatoriales; Oscillatoriaceae. RNAcentral also lists the same sequence under 2 other names. The record is from RNAcentral.
GCUGGUGUAGCUCAGUGGUAGAGCAUCCGCCUUGUAAGCGGACGGUCAUGGGUUCAAAUCCCUUCACCAGCU